AUUGAACGCUGGCGGCAGGCCUAACACAUGCAAGUCGAACGGUAACAGGAAACAGCUUGCUGUUUCGCUGACGAGUGGCGGACGGGUGAGUAAUGUCUGGGAAACUGCCUGAUGGAGGGGGAUAACUACUGGAAACGGUAGCUAAUACCGCAUAACGUCGCAAGCCCAAAGAGGGGGACCUUCGGGCCUCUUGCCAUCGGAUGUGCCCAGAUGGGAUUAGCUAGUAGGUGGGGUAACGGCUCACCUAGGCGACGAUCCCUAGCUGGUCUGAGAGGAUGACCAGCCACACUGGAACUGAGACACGGUCCAGACUCCUACGGGAGGCAGCAGUGGGGAAUAUUGCACAAUGGGCGCAAGCCUGAUGCAGCCAUGCCGCGUGUAUGAAGAAGGCCUUCGGGUUGUAAAGUACUUUCAGCGGGGAGGAAGGGAGUAAAGUUAAUACCUUUGCUCAUUGACGUUACCCGCAGAAGAAGCACCGGCUAACUCCGUG
RNAcentral lists this ribosomal RNA (490 nucleotides) under uncultured bacterium. Its description in RNAcentral is "partial 16S ribosomal RNA". It matches the Rfam family "Bacterial small subunit ribosomal RNA", at positions 30 to 507 of the family's 1533-position model. The record is from RNAcentral.